Non-coding RNA from Paramisgurnus dabryanus, 1068 nucleotides. Lineage: Eukaryota; Metazoa; Chordata; Actinopteri; Cypriniformes; Cobitidae. The record is from RefSeq and is a predicted model, not a curated record.
UUAUAAAAGAGACAGUUUAAAAAGUAAAACGGCUUCAUUUAACUUCAAAAUACCCCUAAAUCCUUAAAGGAACACGCCCACAUUUUGGGAAUUUAGCUUAUUCACCGUAUCCCCCAGAGUUAGAUAAGUCCAUACAUACCUUUCUCAUCCCUGUGCGUGCUGUAACUCUGUCUGAUGCAGCCCCCGCUAGCUUAGCUUAGCACAAAGACUGGAAGUGAAUGGCUCCAGCUAGCAUACUGCUUCCAAUAAGUGACAAAGUAACGUGGACAUUUUCCAAUUUAUGUGUUGUGAUUUGUAUAAAUUCACUACCAGUCUUUUGUUCUAAGCUUAGCUAGCAGGGGCUGCGUCAGACAGAGUUACAGCACACACGGAGAUGAGAAUGAUUGAGUAAUUUUCACUCUAGAGACCCUUGGGUGACCACCAAGGACGAAUGCAAACUCCAGUGAGUGUCUCUAAGGUAGAUCCUAAUGCAGAUGGAUGGAAUGUUGAUCCGCCUAACAUGCAAGGUAAAAGAGCAUUUGAUAGCAUAGUGGAUAAACAAAGCUUUUUUCAUUUUCAGAGCAUUUUCAAAAACAACAUAACACUUGCUAUUACAUUGUUAUAUAUUACAUGACCAUGUCUAACUCUGAUCCAUACAAAACAGAUUUUCUGUACCGAGAACUUUGGAUGACCACGUUUUCAAAAAUCUGACCUCAAUUUUAGUAACCAUUUAGAUAUUUUAGAUGUAGUCCGAGAGCUUGCUGACCCUCCAUUAAAAAUGUAUGUACGGUAUACUGUUCAUGUCCAGAAAGGUAAUAAAAACAUCAUCAAAAUAGUUCUUGUGACAUCAGUGGGUCAGUUAGAAUUUGUUGAAGCGGCAAAAAUACAUUUAGGUCCAAAAAUUACGACUUUAUUCGGCAUUGUCUUCUCUUCCGGGUCUGUUGUGAACCGUGUGCAUGACACUGCUUCCGUACGAUGCUGUUGGCUUGUUAUCUGGUGCACCCAAGCUUUUUUUUUCCGUUUACAGUCUGAGAGAGACGCUGUAAACAAAACAAUCUUCGCAAACAUGUCUGAGGAUAACACGUCAGC